GAUGAACGCUGGCGGCGUGCCUAAUACAUGCAAGUCGAGCGAACAGACGAGGAGCUUGCUCCUUCGACGUUAGCGGCGGACGGGUGAGUAACACGUAGGUAACCUACCUAUAAGACUGGGAUAACUUCGGGAAACCGGAGCUAAUACCGGAUAAUAUUUCGAACCGCAUGGUUCGAUAGUGAAAGAUGGCUUUGCUAUCACUUAUAGAUGGACCUGCGCCGUAUUAGCUAGUUGGUAAGGUAACGGCUUACCAAGGCAACGAUACGUAGCCGACCUGAGAGGGUGAUCGGCAACACUGGAACUGAGACACGGUCCAGACUCCUACGGGAGGCAGCAGUAGGGAAUCUUCCGCAAUGGGCGAAAGCCUGACGGAGCAACGCCGCGUGAGUGAUGAAGGUCUUCGGAUCGUAAAACUCUGUUAUUAGGGAAGAACAAACGCGUAAGUAACUGUGCACGUCUUGACGGUACCUAAUCAGAAAGCCACGGCUAACUACGUG
This 497-nucleotide ribosomal RNA is filed under the name uncultured bacterium. RNAcentral's name for it is "partial 16S ribosomal RNA". It matches the Rfam family "Bacterial small subunit ribosomal RNA", at positions 28 to 507 of the family's 1533-position model. The record is from RNAcentral.